AGAUUGACUCCUUCUAGUUCUAAUCCUAUGUAGCUAUGUUAAUCUAGAUAUCAAAUUGAUGUGGUGGCUCUAAUCUUGAUCAGAGGCUUCUUCUCCCUUGAAGAAUAAUGAAUUAGGGUUGAGAGGCUCUCUCCUCCAGGGGCCAGGGGUCUGGUUUUAUAGUCCCUUCAAGUGAAUAUGGGCCAUUGGAUCAAACCGACAUUGAUUGAACGGUUAUCCUUGAUCCUUAGGUCGGUGGAGAUCUCUCCCGAGAGAGAGUCCUGUUUGGACUCCAACAGGAGGCGGGCGCCCAGGGCAACUGGGCGGGCACCCAGUGCCUGGCCCCGUUCGGCCUCCGCUUCGUUCCCGUGGCUUUUGGAUUCUUCUAGAUGUAAGAUAAUUCGCGGCACGUUAAUAUCUCUAUGUAAUCCCGACGUGUGGGCCUUUCUUCCGUAUUUCCUGAUAACCCCCUGCAGAAAUAGACAAACACCAAAACUCGUGGAAUUCUGUCAGAUAAAACCCUAAGUCUAGAUGUUGAUUUCAUUUGGAUCCUUUUCUUUAUUUAUUUGAUAAUUAAAUUUGAUACUUAAGGACCGUCAACAAACUCCCCCAAGCUUACCUCUUGCUCGUCCCUGAGCAAGGAUAGACUCAGUGAUGGAUCAGAAGUUGUUGCAAUAUCUUUAAAAAUUGACAGUAACAUGCUUUUUAAAUAAGAUCUCAUCUCUGAGUUAGAGUAAACUGUCAAGACUUAAAACUUACUUACUUUACCUUUUACCAUGGGACUUGUAACCGUCACUUCUGUCUUGAGUGAUUAAAAGAUAGAACAGUCUAGUCAAGUGCCAUGUCUCUUAUUCUUGAUUAGCUAUAGCUCUGGUGUUUUUGCAGAUUUUCAAACAAAACUCAGAGAUUCCUUGUAUGAUUCUCUCAAAUCUCUCUUUUGUGGUAUUUUUGGAUCCUUACCAAAGCAGUGAUGGUAUAUGCCUUCUCUCAAUAUAUGUGGUAUUUGUGGUAUAAAGCAUAGUGACAUUGCCUUCUCUCUCACCCUACUCUAAUAAGGCUUUAAUAUCUGGAGCUCAUAGGCGGGAGAUAAAAUAUACAUACUUACAAGACAUUUAUUGUAUACUCAAACCAUGGAUCCAAAGAAACAAAUCAAUAAGUCAAAUCAAGAUGUGCAUGUGUGGCGAAUGAAUGGCGUAUGGUGAUAAUAAUGGUGAAAGUCUAAUUCUACUUUUGCUCUUUGAGGGGAUACAUACCUUCCUUGCUUUUUGAAACAUUUUGAGGAGAAUGAGAUGCUCUUCUUUUUUUUCUUUCUCUCAGGUGGGUAUCUUGUACCCCUAAUUCUACUGUCGGACACUUGUCCAUUUUUACCUCUCGUCUCACUUUUUCUUUUCUUCCGAGGUUCCGGGCACUUGUCCCUUUUUAUUUCCUCGUAUCUUUUCUUUUCUUCUUUUUUUUAGAGCACUCAUCUCUUGAGAUAAUAUAGCAAGUGGUAGUAACAAGAUUACUUGAGCAUUUAUUUCACAAGGGAAAACAGAAAUAUUUUUGGCUAUUCUCUCCCGGAUUAGGAGUAAAAUAUUUUUUUGGGUGAUUCUAGAGAUGGAAAUGGAUGGAUAUUUGUGGAUGGUACUUCUGGCGUAGAAGCAACAUAUGUGAGUGAACGUGCAAGUGAAAUUUUGAUUUAACCACAUGACAAGCUCCUGAGGGUCUACACAGCUUGACCACACUCAAUGCUCAUAAGCAGUAAAUAGUAAAUGUGUGGCUCAAAAUCUAGCAAGCAUGUAUAUAUGGCUGUGGUAGGAAUUUAAACUCUCAUCAUACAGCAACUCAUCAUGAAAUAUUUUAAAGAUUUUCAAAGAUAAAAUUCUCCAGAAUUCUAGCAUCUCUAGGAACAGAUAAACAGGAGCUCAACCUUCCCAUAUCAUAUCCGUUAACAACUUAGACUUCAGAUCAAUUUUUCUUCCCACAAGUUUAGGUUUAGAGCAAGCUUUAAAUUAUAACAGUUAUGUCUAAACUUGAGAGAGAAUUUCAAAAUUUAAAGAUUAGGCAGAGCAACUAUUCAUCAUAUCCAUGCUUGAGUUUUAUUUUUAAGAUUCAGAUUAGCAUAGCCACUUUAUUUAUUUAUUAAACACACUAAGCAAAAGGCAAAUAUAUAAGCAUAAAAUCUUUAUUUGUUUUUCCAUAAUUAUGUAUAUCUAUAUUUUAAUAUAGUAUAAGUAUAAAGGUAGAUAGAAAUACUUAUCGGGAUAAAUGAGGGUGCUCUCCCCCAAGCUGAAUUUUGACGUAAUUUCUCUUGAUGUAGCUAGCAGGUGGCAGAGGUGUGUUUGAAAGUCGGCAGCAUCCUUAGAGCGAUUAGAAUGUCCUCCGUCUGCUAGUCUUCUUGAUUCUUGAAUUCUGUGGAGCUCAAAUGGACAACAAAGCUUGUGGAACUGAUUAAGUGUUAGCAUAAAUAUCUAGCCUUUAUCAUGUUGAGACUUCUUAAUAAUUAUUACUCCCUAUUUUUAUAUUUUCAUUUUAUAAUGCAGAAAAUAAAUUUUUAUUUUAUUUUUAUGCCACCACAGUGAAUGUACUUAUGGGUUUUAUGCCACUCGUAUUCUCACAUGGGGCUUACUGUUUUUUAACAUUUUUAUUUUCUUUUUAGGAUAGUAUAAAUAUAACUAAUUAAGUAAACUAUUUUAAAUAAUUGAAAGGGAAAGGAUAACUACCAAGUUUACCUCUUGGCAAGGCGUUCGGUGUUUUUAAGUCCUCCGAACGGGACUCUCCGUUUUCUAGUUGUCGUGGAAUUUGUUGGGUGGCGUAGUCGGUACUUCCGACGGCGCCUCCUCUUCAUAUAUGGUUAUCUUCUCUUUCCACACUUGACUCGGUGCUACGGUCUCCUCUGGAUAAUUAUGUUUAAACUCUACGUCUUCUGACCUUACCACUUCUCCUUCGUAGUCUGCCCAUCCGUCCUUGAUGAUUUCCCUCCUCUGGUUGCGGUUGCGUCGUUUUCUGACCUGCUUAGAUUCUUCAACGAUAUAGUUAGGGUCAGUAAAAUAGGGCGUACCUUCUCUGAGGGGAAGUGCAUAUGGACUUCUCUGGUUCCAAUGUAGAUGAUUGCUUUAACGGUGCUGAGGAACGGUCUUCCAAGGAUGAUGGGUGGAUCGUAUUCAUCUUCUCCCAUGUCAAUAACCUGAAAGUCUGUGUAGACAAAAUGAUCGUCUAUUUUGACUGGGACAUCAGUUACUGUUCCUUUAACUUCUCGAAAUGUCUGAUCUACCAUCUAGAGCUGAAUGUAUGUUGGUUUUAGGGGCAUGGUUCCGAACAAGAGCCGAUAGGUGACUGCGGCCAUUAUGUUGACGCCCGAUCCGGUGUCACAAGUCGUCUUGUAGAAGUUGUAUCCAUUUAUGGAGCAAUAGAUGCUUGGCAUUCUUGGGUCGUCCUUCUUGGUCAGAAACGGUGACUUAAGUUGGUGAUCUUGGCCUCCAUGAACUGCAGUGACCAUCUUAGCUGACUCGGUCCACACUUGCUUGUUCCUGUUCCUCCUGUUGGUCCUCUUCCUUGAUUCACGUCUGGAUUGAUCUGGAAUUUGUGUAGUCUUGUUUUUGAAGGAAAACGUCUCCUUCCUCCCUUUGAUGUAGAAACUGAUCUUGGCAGCACUAGCGUAGAUGACAGCUUCCGAGGUGUUUAAGAAUGGCCUCCCUAAGAUGAUGGGUGCUCUCUCAUCAUUACCGGUCUCUAUCACCACGAAGUCUGCUAGGGCAUACAAGGUACCAACUCGGACACAAAGGUUCUUCAAUAUUCCUUUUGGAAAACUUAAUGCCUGAUCUGCAAACUGCAAACACAAGGUUGUCUCUAAUAAAGGAUAUGUAAAGAAUUUUUUAUAGAGUACCCUGGGUAUAAUGUUGACGCUGGAGCCAAAGUCACAGAGUGCU
RNAcentral lists this long non-coding RNA (3887 nucleotides) under Sorghum bicolor (sorghum). RNAcentral describes it as "long non-coding RNA (SBIC_LNC006922)". Lineage: Eukaryota; Viridiplantae; Streptophyta; Magnoliopsida; Poales; Poaceae. The record is from RNAcentral.